AUCCCUGCGGAUUCCCCGAGCCAUCCUCUGCCAAGGACCUUGACCUAGCAGGGACUUGGUCGCUACGCUUAGCUCCCCCUGACCUGCUUCUGAACCCGCUAAUCCAACCCCAACUCUUUCCCCCCACGUUCGCUCCACGCGAUAAUUCCCACUGUCCCAGCAACCCCCACUCCCUCUCGGCACCACCAGGGCUCCACACCGGGUCCCCGACUUAGGCUCGAGCUCCCCACCAAAGCAAACGGCCUCAGCUACAAACACCUCUCCUCUUGGCUCCCCCUAAUUUAAUUCGUUUCUUAAAACAACAGCAGUACAAAUAUCAGUCUUUAACGGCAUCUGGCAAACUGGUGGUGAGGUGGAGCAGUGGUCGCCGCCAAGGCUGUCUGGCGACGAGAGCUCAGAAAGGAUAAGGCAGAAACUGGUGCCCGCCAAAGCCAGAAAGGCUGGAAGAAGCGCAGACCCAG
This 461-nucleotide long non-coding RNA is filed under the name Microtus ochrogaster (prairie vole). RNAcentral describes it as "Vax2os1 conserved region 2 (ENSMOCG00000010719.1)". It matches the Rfam family "Vax2os1 conserved region 2". The record is from RNAcentral. Lineage: Eukaryota; Metazoa; Chordata; Mammalia; Rodentia; Cricetidae.